RNAcentral lists this unclassified non-coding RNA (245 nucleotides) under Vibrio anguillarum. RNAcentral's name for it is "partial miscellaneous RNA". The record is from RNAcentral. Lineage: Bacteria; Pseudomonadati; Pseudomonadota; Gammaproteobacteria; Vibrionales; Vibrionaceae.
UAGCUCUUUAACAAUUUGGAAAGCUGACUGAUAACAACGAACGUGUUUGUUGUUGUCAAAUAAAAGUUCUCAACAUCAAUACGUUUAACGUAUUGAUACCAAACACAUUCAAGUGUUCUUGGGAAAGCUUACUACGGUAAGUUUUCAAAAUUGAGUCCGGCAAAAUCAAACGUCUCUCGCUCAUUCAAAUAAUGAGAGACAACCUUGGUGACUUGUCUGCAACACGAAACUUCUUCGGGUUGUAU